RNAcentral lists this transfer RNA (76 nucleotides) under Planctomycetota bacterium. RNAcentral describes it as "tRNA-Asn". It matches the Rfam family "tRNA". Rfam says of the family: Transfer RNA (tRNA) molecules are approximately 80 nucleotides in length. Their secondary structure includes four short double-helical elements and three loops (D, anti-codon, and T loops). Further hydrogen bonds mediate the characteristic L-shaped molecular structure. tRNAs have two regions of fundamental functional importance: the anti-codon, which is responsible for specific mRNA codon recognition, and the 3' end, to which the tRNAs corresponding amino acid is attached (by aminoacyl-tRNA synthetases). tRNAs cope with the degeneracy of the genetic code in two manners: having more than one tRNA (with a specific anti-codon) for a particular amino acid; and 'wobble' base-pairing, i.e. permitting non-standard base-pairing at the 3rd anti-codon position. Lineage: Bacteria; Pseudomonadati; Planctomycetota. The record is from RNAcentral.
UCCUCUGUAGCUCAGCUGGUAGAGCGUCGGACUGUUAAUCCGCAGGUCGCUGGUUCGAAUCCAGCCGGAGGAGCCA